UACGAAGGGGGCUAGCGUUGCUCGGAAUCACUGGGCGUAAAGGGUGCGUAGGCGGGUCUUUAAGUCAGGGGUGAAAUCCCGGGGCUCAACCCCGGAACUGCCUUUGAUACUGGUAGUCUCGAGUCCGGAAGAGGUGAGUGGAAUUCCGAGUGUAGAGGUGAAAUUCGUAGAUAUUCGGAGGAACACCAGUGGCGAAGGCGGCUCACUGGUCCGGUACUGACGCUGAGGUGCGAAAGCUAGGGGAGCGAACAGG
This 253-nucleotide ribosomal RNA is filed under the name uncultured bacterium. RNAcentral's name for it is "partial 16S ribosomal RNA". It matches the Rfam family "Bacterial small subunit ribosomal RNA", at positions 524 to 776 of the family's 1533-position model. The record is from RNAcentral.